UCUGCUCAGGACGAACGCUGGCGGCGUGCCUAAUACAUGCAAGUCGAGCGGACAGAAGGGAGCUUGCUCCCGGAUGUUAGCGGCGGACGGGUGAGUAACACGUGGGUAACCUGCCUGUAAGACUGGGAUAACUCCGGGAAACCGGAGCUAAUACCGGAUAGUUCCUUGAACCGCAUGGUUCAAGGAUGAAAGACGGUUUCGGCUGUCACUUACAGAUGGACCCGCGGCGCAUUAGCUAGUUGGUGAGGUAACGGCUCACCAAGGCGACGAUGCGUAGCCGACCUGAGAGGGUGAUCGGCCACACUGGGACUGAGACACGGCCCAGACUCCUACGGGAGGCAGCAGUAGGGAAUCUUCCGCAAUGGACGAAAGUCUGACGGAGCAACGCCGCGUGAGUGAUGAAGGUUUUCGGAUCGUAAAGCUCUGUUGUUAGGGAAGAACAAGUGCAAGAGUAACUGCUUGCACCUUGACGGUACCUAACCAGAAAGCCACGGCUAACUACGUGCCAGCAGCCGCGGUAAUACGUAGGUGGCAAGCGUUGUCCGGAAUUAUUGGGCGUAAAGGGCUCGCAGGCGGUUUCUUAAGUCUGAUGUGAAAGCCCCCGGCUCAACCGGGGAGGGUCAUUGGAAACUGGGAAACUUGAGUGCAGAAGAGGAGAGUGGAAUUCCACGUGUAGCGGUGAAAUGCGUAGAGAUGUGGAGGAACACCAGUGGCGAAGGCGACUCUCUGGUCUGUAACUGACGCUGAGGAGCGAAAGCGUGGGGAGCGAACAGGAUUAGAUACCCUGGUAGUCCACGCCGUAAACGAUGAGUGCUAAGUGUUAGGGGGUUUCCGCCCCUUAGUGCUGCAGCUAACGCAUUAAGCACUCCGCCUGGGGAG
This 879-nucleotide ribosomal RNA is filed under the name Bacillus sp. L-14. RNAcentral's name for it is "bacterial SSU rRNA". It matches the Rfam family "Bacterial small subunit ribosomal RNA", at positions 19 to 880 of the family's 1533-position model. Lineage: Bacteria; Bacillati; Bacillota; Bacilli; Caryophanales; Bacillaceae. The record is from RNAcentral.